CGGGAUGUAGCGCAGUUUGGUAGCGCGUAUGCUUUGGGAGCAUGAUGUCGCAGGUUCGAAUCCUGUCAUCCCGA
RNAcentral lists this transfer RNA (74 nucleotides) under Chlorolobion braunii. Its description in RNAcentral is "tRNA-Pro". It matches the Rfam family "tRNA". From Rfam's summary of the family: Transfer RNA (tRNA) molecules are approximately 80 nucleotides in length. Their secondary structure includes four short double-helical elements and three loops (D, anti-codon, and T loops). Further hydrogen bonds mediate the characteristic L-shaped molecular structure. tRNAs have two regions of fundamental functional importance: the anti-codon, which is responsible for specific mRNA codon recognition, and the 3' end, to which the tRNAs corresponding amino acid is attached (by aminoacyl-tRNA synthetases). tRNAs cope with the degeneracy of the genetic code in two manners: having more than one tRNA (with a specific anti-codon) for a particular amino acid; and 'wobble' base-pairing, i.e. permitting non-standard base-pairing at the 3rd anti-codon position. Lineage: Eukaryota; Viridiplantae; Chlorophyta; Chlorophyceae; Sphaeropleales; Selenastraceae. The record is from RNAcentral. RNAcentral also lists the same sequence under 7 other names.